Molecule: ribosomal RNA, 460 nt
Filed under: uncultured bacterium
Lineage: Bacteria
Description: partial 16S ribosomal RNA
Rfam family: Bacterial small subunit ribosomal RNA
Source: RNAcentral
CCUACUGGUGGCAGCAGUGAGGAAUAUUUGUCAAUGGGCGCAAGCCUGAACCCGCCAAGUCGCGUGAGGGAUGACGGUCCUAUGGAUUGUAAACCUCUUUUGUCGGGGAGCAAGGCCCGCCACGUGUGGCGGGAAUGAGAGUACCCGAAGCACAAGCAUCGGCUAACUCCGUGCCAGCCGCCGCGGUAAUACGGAGGCUGCUAGCGUUAUCCGGAUUUAUUGGGUUUAAAGGGUGCGUAGGCGGAAGGUUAAGUCAGCGGUCAAAUGUCGGUGCUCAACACCGGCCUGCCGUUGAAACUGGUCUUCUUGAGUGAGCGAGAAGUAUGCGGAAUGCGUGGUGUAGCGGUGAAAGGCAUAGAUAUCACGCAGAACUCCGAUUGCGAAGGCAGCAUACCGGCGCUCAACUGACGCUGAGGCACGAAAGCGUGGGGAUCGAACAGGAUUAGAUACCCUGGUAGGC